CCUACGGGGGGCAGCAGUGAGGAAUAUUGGUCAAUGGACGAGAGUCUGAACCAGCCAAGUAGCGUGAAGGAUGACUGCCCUAUGGGUUGUAAACUUCUUUUAUAUGGGAAUAAAACGUUCCACGUGUGGGAUUUUGUAUGUACCAUAUGAAAAAGCAUCGGCUAACUCCGUGCCAGCAGCCGCGGUAAUACGGAGGAUGCGAGCGUUAUCCGGAUUUAUUGGGUUUAAAGGGUGCGCAGGCGGCGUGUCAAGUUAGCGGUAAAAUGUCAGGGCUCAACCCCGGCCGGCCGUUGAAACUGGCGUGCUCGAGUUGGAGAGAGGUAUGCGGAAUGCGUGGUGUAGCGGUGAAAUGCAUAGAUAUCACGAAGAACACCGAUUGCGAAGGCAGCAUACC
Molecule: ribosomal RNA, 394 nt
Filed under: uncultured bacterium
Lineage: Bacteria
Description: partial 16S ribosomal RNA
Rfam family: Bacterial small subunit ribosomal RNA
Source: RNAcentral